Molecule: long non-coding RNA, 687 nt
Filed under: Mytilus galloprovincialis (Mediterranean mussel)
Lineage: Eukaryota; Metazoa; Mollusca; Bivalvia; Mytilida; Mytilidae
Source: RNAcentral
GGUGUACUGAAUAUUUUAUUUAAUAACUAGAUUGAUAAUUCAUGUAUAUAUUGGCACUAACACUGAGUUAUCAUUUAAUUUCUAAGAUCAAAUCCUUUACAGUAUAAAAACCUUACUGCUUUCAUUCACGACUUUAAAAAGUCGCAAUGAAAAAAAAAAAUUAUUGAUAUCCUAAAAUGCAAAUUUCUACAUUAAAAAUCAACUUUAAUUUAUGUUUUUUUUAAAUUGACAUUAAGAUUGAUCUGAAAAUUUAUAACAGUUGUUCUGCAAAACAAUCUAUUAUAUGUCAUGACUAGCUAAUUACAAUAUGACAGAGUCAUAGUUCAAGGUAUAAAUUAUAUUGACAUAGCUUAUAAACUGGCAAGCUCUUCUUUCUGCGAUAAUUUCUGUCAGAAUCUCAAAAACAUGUGUAUUUUGAUAACUUACAAAUUAUGCAUAACUCCUUUCUAUCUUAAGUAACAGUAAAAUCUUUACAUAGAUGUUUCAAUGAAUCAUUCAAAUAUAUUAACAUUUUCAUAGCACAAAACCAGAGCAGAUAAUAAGACUUAGUAGUAAUGCAUCCAAGAAGCUAUCCAGGAUAAAGUGAUAAUUCUAUAGUUUUCAUUUUUGAAAAUCUUUCUUGCAAAUGAUCUCGCAUAGACUUAAACAUUAUUCCUCAAUAAUCUCACACAGAAAAAACGGAAGUGA